This 253-nucleotide ribosomal RNA is filed under the name uncultured bacterium. RNAcentral's name for it is "partial 16S ribosomal RNA". It matches the Rfam family "Bacterial small subunit ribosomal RNA", at positions 524 to 776 of the family's 1533-position model. The record is from RNAcentral.
UACGUAGGGAGCAAGCGUUGUCCGGAAUUACUGGGCGUAAAGGGCGCGUAGGCGGGGAUUUAAGUUAGGUGUGAAAACUGAGGGCUCAACCUUCAGACUGCAUUUAAAACUGGAUCUCUUGAGGGCAGGAGAGGAAAGUGGAAUUCCUAGUGUAGCGGUGAAAUGCGUAGAUAUUAGGAGGAACACCAGUGGCGAAGGCGACUUUCUGGACUGUACCUGACGCUGAGGCGCGAAAGCGUGGGGAGCGAACAGG